AUAGAUAGAACCAUUAUUAAUACAAAUGGGACCAAACAUAUAUGUACGGAGCGAUCAUGUUGAAUGUACAAUGCGCAUUUGUUUCUUGUACGAUGAAAAUUGAAGCAUAUGAGUUCUUUAUAAAUUGUGAAUUCUGGUGACCUCUUAGAACCACGCCUAUCUAUGAACAUUUAAGUCAAGUUGAAAUCUACUUCUCCUUCAAUUCAGGUGGUGUUCAUUGGACCUUAUGCUGAAAUUUAUGGGUUCAUGGAAGACGUGAAGAAAUGGAACCAUGAUAGGAAGGCUGUGAUGGUCAUGGAAAGGUAUGAAACCUUCGUAGAAGCUUUUGGUGCCUCUUGUUUGUUCGAGGAUACUGGUUGUGCUUUUACAAGGAAGAAGGUGAGAUAUCGCUGCAAUUGCAUGGACUUUUUGUCGUUCAGGUUCGAGGGUGAGUAUGAGCCACUUGGAAUAGUUUAUCUGAACAUGCACUUCAAAGGGAGAGUUCUAGAAUGGGAAAACUUUCAAGAGAAGUAGAGGCGGAAGAGGACGCUGGAGAUAAGCAUGCCGAAGUAUCUUCUAAGAAGGUUGACCCUAAGAAGAAAGAGCCAGCUAAGUGAGAAACGUACGUCAUAUCUGUGUCUUUUGUAUGGGUGUCGUCUAUUUCACGUACUGCUUUGUUUAGGUUCCCAGUUUUUAAAUUUUCUUUUUAGGUUGUCAUUGUUGUGGUGUAUUUUCAUUUUAUUUAGACUUUAUCGUAUUGUUCGACUUUUGCUUUAGUAAUUCCAGUUCCAUUUUCCU
Long non-coding RNA from Humulus lupulus (European hop), 777 nucleotides. RefSeq lists it as uncharacterized. NCBI's taxonomy places the organism in Eukaryota, Viridiplantae, Streptophyta, Magnoliopsida, Rosales, Cannabaceae. The transcript has 2 exons. The record is from RefSeq and is a predicted model, not a curated record.